This 443-nucleotide ribosomal RNA is filed under the name uncultured bacterium. RNAcentral's name for it is "partial 16S ribosomal RNA". It matches the Rfam family "Bacterial small subunit ribosomal RNA", at positions 338 to 795 of the family's 1533-position model. The record is from RNAcentral.
CCUACGUGGGGCAGCAGUGGGGAAUAUUGGACAAUGGGGGGAACCCUGAUCCAGCGACGCCGCGUGAGUGAAGAAGUAUUUCGGUAUGUAAAGCUCUAUCAGCAGGGAAGAAAGAAAUGACGGUACCUGACUAAGAAGCCUCGGCUAACUACGUGCCAGCAGCCGCGGUAAUACGUAGGUGGCAAGCGUUAUCCGGAUUUACUGGGUGUAAAGGGAGCGUAGACGGUUGUGCAAGUCUGGAGUGAAAGGCGGGGGCACAACCCCCGGACUGCUUUGGAAACUGUAUGACUGGAGUGCAGCAGAGGUAGGUGGAAGUCCUAGUGUAGCGGUGAAAUGCGUAGAUAGUAGGAGGAACACCGGUGGCGAAGGCGGCUUACUGGACUGUAACUGACGUUGAGGCUCGAAAGCGUGGGGAGCAAACAGGAUUAGAUACCCUUGUAGUC